Molecule: ribosomal RNA, 1107 nt
Filed under: Microsporidium sp. 515
Lineage: Eukaryota; Fungi; Microsporidia
Description: partial small subunit ribosomal RNA
Rfam family: Microsporidia small subunit ribosomal RNA
Source: RNAcentral
GUAGAUGCUAUUUUCUGAGAUUAAGCCAUGCAAUGUUUCUUAACAAGGACAAAUAGCUCAGUAAAACUAGGCGAUCUAACCUCGGCAUCGGAUAACCUUGGGAAACUAAGGCUAAAGGCUGAGGGUGACGCCUAGCACUAUCAGCUAGUAGGUAGUGUAACGGACUACCUAGGCGGUGACGGUUAACGGGAUACGAGAGUGUGAUACCGGAGAGGGAGCCUGAGAAAUGGCUCCCACAUCCAAGGAUGGCAGCAGGCGCGAAAAUUGUCCACUCUUUAUAGGAGACAGUUAUGAAAAGUAAAAACGGUGGGUCUUGUAAAGAAAGAUUCUAAAAUUGGAGGGCAAGUUUGGUGCCAGCAGCCGCGGUAAUACCAACUCCAAGAGUGUGUAUGAGAGUUGUUGCAGUUAAAAGGUCCGUAGUCGUUCAUGGAAAUAAGGCUUCGGCCUGUGCUCAAUGUGGAGGGGCUGAUGGGGACCAUAGUAUACAGUGGCGAGAGAUGAAAUGUCUAAACCCUCUGUGGACUCAGCGAGGCGAAAGCGGUGGUCUAGUAAGUACUCGGUGAUCAAGGACGAAGGGUAGAGGAGCGAAAGUGAUUAGAUACCGCUGUAGUUUUACCAGUAAAAGAUGCCGACUAUCCUGGCGUGCGCGGGCGAAAGCGAUGCGCAGGCUGGGAAUAGAGAAAUCGAUAAGUGUUCGGGCUCUGGGGAUAGUAUGCUCGCAAGAGUGAAAAUUAAAGAAAUUGACGGAGCUACACCACAAGGAGUGGAUUGUGCGGCUUAAUUUGACUCAACGCGAGGAAACUUACCAGGCCCUUUUGCACCUAAGAUACGAGGUGCGAAGGAGUGGUGCAUGGUCGUUGGAAAUUCAUGGGAUGACUUUGAGCUUAAAUGCUUGAAUGAGUGAGACUCCGUAGACUGGCUGCGUUAAGCAGCAGGAGGGUGGAGCUAUAACAGAUCAGUGAUGCCCUUAGAUGGCCUGGGCUGCACGCGCAAUACAGUGGGACGUAGGUAUAGAGACGUACAGGUCCCCAGAUGGAUUGCCGAUUGUAAGUUCGGCAUGAAAGCGGAAUUCCUAGUAAGCACGUAUUAUCAAUGGGUGCUGAAUGC